CGACCCCAGGGCAGGCGGGAUCACCGCUGAGUUUAAGCAUAUCAAUAAGCGGAGGAAAAAAACUAACAAGGAUUCCCUUAGUAACGGCGAGCGAACCGGGAAGAGCCCAGCUUGAAAAUCGAACGUCUUCGUCGUUCAAAUUGUAGUCUGGAGAAGCGUCCUCAGCGACGGACUGGGCCCAAGUUCCCUGGAAAGGGGCGCC
This 202-nucleotide non-coding RNA is filed under the name Brassica napus (rape). Its description in RNAcentral is "Eukaryotic large subunit ribosomal RNA". It matches the Rfam family "Eukaryotic large subunit ribosomal RNA", at positions 1 to 204 of the family's 3401-position model. The record is from Rfam by way of RNAcentral. Lineage: Eukaryota; Viridiplantae; Streptophyta; Magnoliopsida; Brassicales; Brassicaceae.